UGAGUAAUGCUUAGGAAUCUGCCUAUUAGUGGGGGACAACAUUCCGAAAGGAAUGCUAAUACCGCAUACGCCCUACGGGGGAAAGCAGGGGAUCUUCGGACCUUGCGCUAAUAGAUGAGCCUAAGUCAGAUUAGCUAGUUGGUGGGGUAAAGGCCUACCAAGGCGACGAUCUGUAGCGGGUCUGAGAGGAUGAUCCGCCACACUGGGACUGAGACACGGCCCAGACUCCUACGGGAGGCAGCAGUGGGGAAUAUUGGACAAUGGGCGAAAGCCUGAUCCAGCCAUGCCGCGUGUGUGAAGAAGGCCUUUUGGUUGUAAAGCACUUUAAGCGAGGAGGAGGCUACUUGGAUUAAUACUCUAGGAUAGUGGACGUUACUCGCAGAAUAAGCACCGGCUAACUCUGUGCCAGCAGCCGCGGUAAUACAGAGGGUGCGAGCGUUAAUCGGAUUUACUGGGCGUAAAGCGUGCGUAGGCGGCUUUUUAAGUCGGAUGUGAAAUCCCUGAGCUUAACUUAGGAAUUGCAUUCGAUACUGGGAAGCUAGAGUAUGGGAGAGGAUGGUAGAAU
RNAcentral lists this ribosomal RNA (565 nucleotides) under Acinetobacter johnsonii. Its description in RNAcentral is "bacterial SSU rRNA". It matches the Rfam family "Bacterial small subunit ribosomal RNA", at positions 107 to 667 of the family's 1533-position model. The record is from RNAcentral. Lineage: Bacteria; Pseudomonadati; Pseudomonadota; Gammaproteobacteria; Moraxellales; Moraxellaceae.